RNAcentral lists this ribosomal RNA (758 nucleotides) under uncultured Salinivibrio sp. RNAcentral describes it as "bacterial SSU rRNA". It matches the Rfam family "Bacterial small subunit ribosomal RNA", at positions 576 to 1332 of the family's 1533-position model. Lineage: Bacteria; Pseudomonadati; Pseudomonadota; Gammaproteobacteria; Vibrionales; Vibrionaceae. The record is from RNAcentral.
CGGUUUGUUAAGUCAGAUGUGAAAGCCCGGGGCUCAACCUCGGAACCGCAUUUGAAACUGGCAGGCUAGAGUCUUGUAGAGGGGGGUAGAAUUUCAGGUGUAGCGGUGAAAUGCGUAGAGAUCUGAAGGAAUACCAGUGGCGAAGGCGGCCCCCUGGACAAAGACUGACGCUCAGAUGCGAAAGCGUGGGUAGCAAACAGGAUUAGAUACCCUGGUAGUCCACGCCGUAAACGCUGUCUACUUGGAGGUUGAGGUUUAAGACUUUGGCUUUCGGCGCUAACGCAUUAAGUAGACCGCCUGGGGAGUACGGCCGCAAGGUUAAAACUCAAAUGAAUUGACGGGGGCCCGCACAAGCGGUGGAGCAUGUGGUUUAAUUCGAUGCAACGCGAAGAACCUUACCUACUCUUGACAUCCAGCGAAGCCUUUAGAGAUAGAGGCGUGCCUUCGGGAGCGCUGAGACAGGUGCUGCAUGGCUGUCGUCAGCUCGUGUUGUGAAAUGUUGGGUUAAGUCCCGCAACGAGGCGCAACCCUUAUCCUUGUUUGCCAGCACAUAAUGGUGGGAACUCCAGGGAGACUGCCGGUGAUAAACCGGAGGAAGGUGGGGACGACGUCAAGUCAUCAUAGCCCUUACGAGUAGGGCUACACACGUGCUACAAUGGCAGAUACAGAGGGCAGCGAGACAGCGAUGUUUAGCGAAUCCCUUAAAGUUUGUCGUAGUCCGGAUUGGAGUCUGCAACUCGACUCCAUGAAGUCGGAAU